GCAUCCGUAGCUCAACUGGAUAGAGCACCGGUCUUCGGAACCGGGGGUUGGAGGUUCGAAUCCUCCCGGGUGUAC
RNAcentral lists this transfer RNA (75 nucleotides) under Fuerstiella marisgermanici. RNAcentral's name for it is "Fuerstia marisgermanicae tRNA-Arg". It matches the Rfam family "tRNA". Rfam says of the family: Transfer RNA (tRNA) molecules are approximately 80 nucleotides in length. Lineage: Bacteria; Pseudomonadati; Planctomycetota; Planctomycetia; Planctomycetales; Planctomycetaceae. The record is from RNAcentral.